RNAcentral lists this ribosomal RNA (566 nucleotides) under uncultured bacterium. Its description in RNAcentral is "partial 16S ribosomal RNA". It matches the Rfam family "Bacterial small subunit ribosomal RNA", at positions 355 to 914 of the family's 1533-position model. The record is from RNAcentral.
UGGGGAAUUUUGGACAAUGGGCGAAAGCCUGAUCCAGCAAUGCCGCGUGUGUGAAGAAGGCCUUCGGGUUGUAAAGCACUUUUGUCCGGAAAGAAAUCCUUGGCUCUAAUACAGUCGGGGGAUGACGGUACCGGAAGAAUAAGCACCGGCUAACUACGUGCCAGCAGCCGCGGUAAUACGUAGGGUGCAAGCGUUAAUCGGAAUUACUGGGCGUAAAGCGUGCGCAGGCGGUUUGCUAAGACCGAUGUGAAAUCCCCGGGCUCAACCUGGGAACUGCAUUGGUGACUGGCAGGCUAGAGUAUGGCAGAGGGGGGUAGAAUUCCACGUGUAGCAGCGAAAUGCGUAGAGAUGUGGAGGAAUACCGAUGGCGAAGGCAGCCCCCUGGGCCAAUACUGACGCUCAUGCACGAAAGCGUGGGGAGCAAACAGGAUUAGAUACCCUGGUAGUCCACGCCCUAAACGAUGUCAACUAGUUGUUGGGGAUUCAUUUCCUUAGUAACGUAGCUAACGCGUGAAGUUGACCGCCUGGGGAGUACGGUCGCAAGAUUAAAACUCAAAGGAAUUGAC